Molecule: ribosomal RNA, 237 nt
Filed under: uncultured bacterium
Lineage: Bacteria
Description: partial 16S ribosomal RNA
Rfam family: Bacterial small subunit ribosomal RNA
Source: RNAcentral
UACGUAGGGGGCAAGCGUUGUCCGGAUUUAUUGGGCGUAAAGAGCGUGUAGGCGGCCAUGUAGGUCCGUUGUGAAAACUCGAGCUCAACCUCGAGACGCCGAUGGAAACCGUGUGGCUAGAGUCCGGAAGAGGAGAGUGGAAUUCCCGGGUGUAGCGGUGAAAUGCGCAGAUAUCGAGAAGAACACCCGUGGCGAAGGCGGCUCUCUGGGACGGUACUGACGCUGAGACGCGAAAGC